GGAGAGGAGAGGAGAGGAGAUGUGUUGGGUGCAUAAUGACAUCUUAACAUCUCGAACAGAGUGAGGAGAGAGGAAGUGAUGGAGGGCAGGAUGAAGUGUAAGACCUUUCAUGUGCAUGGAGUAUGGAGGAG
Long non-coding RNA from Monopterus albus (swamp eel), 131 nucleotides. RefSeq lists it as uncharacterized. The transcript has 3 exons. Lineage: Eukaryota; Metazoa; Chordata; Actinopteri; Synbranchiformes; Synbranchidae. The record is from RefSeq and is a predicted model, not a curated record.